GGGCAGCAAGAACCAAGCGGGAAGCGAGCAGCCGCUCUUCUCCCUGGGCUUUGAGGCCGGCUACGCGCAGCAGCCGCAGCCCGAGGAGUCUCCAGGAAGGCAGCAGAUCUGUUAUUAGGAGCUCAAGUGAAGCAGCAGCUAAGUCAAAGGA
Molecule: long non-coding RNA, 151 nt
Organism: Corvus hawaiiensis (hawaiian crow)
Lineage: Eukaryota; Metazoa; Chordata; Aves; Passeriformes; Corvidae
Exons: 2
Source: RefSeq, a predicted model, not a curated record